GUAAUAUAUUUUAUAAUUCCCAUAUUUUAGUUUUUCUUUGUAAAUUUUCAGCUUUUAAUUUUUCAUUUUCACACAUAAAAGUCCGGCGAUCGAGGUGUUGAACGAAGUUAAUGGUUCAAACAAAUCCCCUAUAUCAAAGCAAUCAGCAGCUCUUCCUUGGGUUUCUUACUACCACUAUCGCCGUUCAUGCCGGACCCACUACUGUCGAUGGGAUUCCAAUGCCGAGACCAAACGCUCUCAAAGAUUUGGUUUUGAUUUUAGAGGCAAAAGAGAUGAAUAUGAAGACGAAGAUGAAGAAGGAGAAGAUUACGAGGAAGGAUGCUACAACGGAAGGAAGAGGCGGUGGUGGUCUGAUUAUGAGUCGCUGGAGAUGGAGGAAGGUCCUGGAAUUUUAAAAGAAGCCAUUGAUGCUCUAUGGAUGAUUAUGUUUUAAACAACUAUAGGUCUCUGCAUCAUCACAAUUAAUCAUUUUCCAUCAAUUUUCUCGGGAACCAAACAAGCUUACUUGUAAAACUCCAUAACAGAACAGCCUAAAGCUUACUUGUAAGUUUUCUUCAUACUAGGGCUUCCAUUGACCUCUAAUAAGCCUGACAAAUGCAACAGCGGCCAAGUUUUUGGGUUUGAUUUCUUAUUGGGGCAUCUAGCUAAAUGCCAGAAUUUCUUGCUUCCUCACUUUUCUAAAUAUUGCAGGGCGACCGCAUACAUUCCUCUCACAAUCCUCGCUGUUCCAGCUUCUAUACUUACUCUUGGUGGAGGCUAUUAAUAUCUGUAUUGGGUUUAUAGAUUUUGAAUACCUUAUUUUCAGUUGGGUAUGUUGAAUUUUUGGGUUUCGAGCUGAAUUAUGUUGAUUUUUCUUGAAUUGAAAGAUGGGUCUUUUGUAAUAUUUGAUGAAGAAAAUUUUCUAUUUUUAGUCUUUUGUAACCUUGCUUUGAUCAAUACAGUAUGAUCUGAUUUGUAGAACAUGGAAAUGUUGAUGAAGCGCUAAAGUAUUUUCACCAGAUGGAAGAAUUCGAGAUUUCAGAUAGUCUUGACAUCGUUAAUAAAGGCUGUAAGGUUGGGAGCUUGAAAGAUGAAAGGCUCUUUGUUUUUUAAUUAUACUCGAUUUGAGUUAUUACGUGUUAUUUGUUUGUAUUCAUUAUGUAAAAUGUUUUGUUUAAAUUAUAACCAAUUUGAGUUAUUUCGUGUUAUUUAUUUUUAUUCAUUAUAACAUUGUUAUAGCUAGAACCGGUUUUAUUUUAAUUAUAACUAGUUUGAGUUAUUUUGUAUUAUUUAUUUUUAUUCAUUA
Cannabis sativa is the source of this 1285-nucleotide long non-coding RNA. RefSeq lists it as uncharacterized. The transcript is spliced from 2 exons. Lineage: Eukaryota; Viridiplantae; Streptophyta; Magnoliopsida; Rosales; Cannabaceae. The record is from RefSeq and is a predicted model, not a curated record.